CUUGCUUCUCUUGAGAGCGGCGGACGGGUGAGUAAUGCCUAGGAAUCUGCCUGGUAGUGGGGGAUAACGUCCGGAAACGGACGCUAAUACCGCAUACGUCCUACGGGAGAAAGCAGGGGACCUUCGGGCCUUGCGCUAUCAGAUGAGCCUAGGUCGGAUUAGCUAGUUGGUGGGGUAAUGGCUCACCAAGGCGACGAUCCGUAACUGGUCUGAGAGGAUGAUCAGUCACACUGGAACUGAGACACGGUCCAGACUCCUACGGGAGGCAGCAGUGGGGAAUAUUGGACAAUGGGCGAAAGCCUGAUCCAGCCAUGCCGCGUGUGUGAAGAAGGUCUUCGGAUUGUAAAGCACUUUAAGUUGGGAGGAAGGGCAGUAAAUUAAUACUUUGCUGUUUUGACGUUACCGACAGAAUAAGCACCGGCUAACUCUGUGCCAGCAGCCGCGGUAAUACAGAGGGUGCAAGCGUUAAUCGGAAUUACUGGGCGUAAAGCGCGCGUAGGUGGUUCGUUAAGUUGGAUGUGAAAUCCCCGGGCUCAACCUGGGAACUGCAUUCAAAACUGACGAGCUAGAGUAUGGUAGAGGGUGGUGGAAUUUCCUGUGUAGCGGUGAAAUGCGUAGAUAUAGGAAGGAACACCAGUGGCGAAAGCGACCACCUGGGACUGAUACUGACACUGAGGUGCGAAAGCGUGGGGAGCAAACAGGA
Molecule: ribosomal RNA, 703 nt
Filed under: uncultured bacterium
Lineage: Bacteria
Description: bacterial SSU rRNA
Rfam family: Bacterial small subunit ribosomal RNA
Source: RNAcentral